GUCGAGGUUGCUCCUCUAUCAGUACAUUCACUGUAUAUCCAUUAAUUUACUGCAGGGAGGUCUCACUUACAGAAUGGGACAUGUAUUUUGGAACUGGAAUUAUGUUUUAUGGGGAGGGGUCUGGUGGGAUCUAAACCUUGAUGAACAUCCCAUUUAAGCAUUCUAUUUUCCCUGCUAUUGCCUGGGGAUAGAUUAAGCCUUUCAUAAUCUCCUCUCCUCUCUUUUUCUUUCCUUGUAUUCUUUUAUUUUUCUUUCUUUUCCUUGUUCCAUUGUUAUGAAUGCAUUGGUCCUAAUUAUAGUUUAAGCUAAAGGCUGACUUUCCUUCAGAAAUCAAUCAGUAUCUACCUUUUAUGGAAUUCAUUGGUUCAUUGUUUUUGCACCUGAUGGAGGAUAUUACCCUCUUGAUAGUCAUUCAGUAUUCUUCUCUUGCCUGUCUUUGUUUGUACUGGUAAAAUUUAGUCAGCCUUUUACUGAAAAUGGACAUUGGAACUCCUUGGCCAUUUCUCAUGGAACAAGUUCAAUUGAGAUAUUCUUUACUCUGGAAAUCCUCUUGGCCUUUCAUUUUGGUUCAGCCUGUCCACAUUUGUCUUCUUUCUUUUGCAAAUGCUUCCGGCUUCUGUGGUUCCAUCAG
RNAcentral lists this unclassified non-coding RNA (631 nucleotides) under Hevea brasiliensis (rubber tree). The record is from RNAcentral. Lineage: Eukaryota; Viridiplantae; Streptophyta; Magnoliopsida; Malpighiales; Euphorbiaceae.